Molecule: ribosomal RNA, 301 nt
Filed under: uncultured bacterium
Lineage: Bacteria
Description: partial 16S ribosomal RNA
Rfam family: Bacterial small subunit ribosomal RNA
Source: RNAcentral
CAGCAGCCGCCACGGUAAUACAGAGGAUGCAAGCGUUAUCCGGAAUGAUUGGGCGUAAAGCGUCUGUAGGUGGCUUUUCAAGUCCGCCGUCAAAUCCCCGGGCUCAACCCUGGACAGGCAGUGGAAACUACCAAGCUGGAGUACGGUAAGGGCAGAGGGAAUUUCCAGUGGAGCGGUGAAAUGCGUUGAGAUCGAAAAGAACACCAACAGCGAAAGCACUCUGCUGGGCCGACACUGACACUGAGAGACGAAAGCUAGGGGAGCAAAUGGGAUUAGAUACCCCUGUAGUCCCUGUCUCUUU